UAAAAGGCAAAGAUAUUCAAAUGAGAACUAUAAUAGAUUAGGGUUAGGGCUUGGGAUUUAUGCCCUAAAGCUUUGGGUUUUGACCUUUUAGCUAGAAUAGAAGCCUCUAAUGGCCUUAAAACACAUGGAAACAAGGUUUACCAUGUGCUCUCAUGGUAGAAACCCUAGGGUUGAGUUUUAUGCCCUAAAAAUGGUUCAAAAGGUUUGGAAAUGGUAUUAGAGAGCUU
This 227-nucleotide long non-coding RNA is filed under the name Ananas comosus (pineapple). Its description in RNAcentral is "long non-coding RNA (ACOM_LNC013373)". The record is from RNAcentral. Lineage: Eukaryota; Viridiplantae; Streptophyta; Magnoliopsida; Poales; Bromeliaceae.